Molecule: long non-coding RNA, 1609 nt
Filed under: Anser cygnoides (Swan goose)
Lineage: Eukaryota; Metazoa; Chordata; Aves; Anseriformes; Anatidae
Description: lncRNA (ENSACDG00005007480.1)
Source: RNAcentral
AUGAGUUGGAGCUGUGCAAGGAACUCUACCUAUUCCUGUCCUGGCAGUAGCCAGGAGACAUUUGUAGAAACACGCCUUCUUUUUUUCCAGGUUGGAAGAAGAAGGCUUUGUGGAAUAGUUUGUUCACAUACUGAUAGGAUUUUUCUAAAACUCGACUUAUCCUGUCUAACCUGGUUAAUACAGACCACAGAAGUCUGUUGAGGUUCUUACUAUUCCAGAAGGAGUGCAAACUGUCUCCAGUAUUCAGCACUGAGAAAAAUAGCCAUUUGAAAAACUGUUGGACCCAAUUCUCAGCUGGUGUUUCUAAGCCCUAUUGCAUUGAUUUUAAACUCUCAAAGGCAAUGGAAGCUUUGAGAUAGUGACAAUACCGAUCACAGUGUACAAAGAAUACUUCAGAUGUAACAGGCUGUAAAACAGCUAUAUUAAAUCUUAUGUACAGUGGUUAAUGAUUCUGUUUGAAAAUUGCAUUGUAUCUUAAUGUGCUCUCCCCUUUGCUACUUCUUCUUGAACCACCCAAGAGCCAAAAUAAGCCACCUGUGAUUGCAGUCUCAUAGAAUCAGGAUAAUUGCCCAGAUCAGUAGUUACGGUCAACCUACAGACAAAUAAGAAAGGAAGGUGAAAGUGUCUGACAAGUGAUUUAAUGGUUCACCUUUUCAUAACUCUUUGCUGUCUGCUUCAUGUGGCACUGGGCUUACUGUAGCAGCUUAGAGCAAACUCUGAGGAAGGGGUUGGAGAUGGAGGGUGGGGAGCUCUCCCUCUUAGCCUUAAAUCUAUGGAAGAACAUUAAGGCAUGCCAGAGGAGACAAUUGUAUAACUGCUUUUUUCUGGUACCAUUUAACUAGUCAGGAGAGUAAGACAAAAUCUUCAAUGUUCAACGCAUCUCUAGCACUACUCUGUAUGCUGUCUUUGAAGGAGACACUUCUUUUUUUUUUUAGAUCCACUUACUUUGACAGUUACUAUUACAAAACAUAAUCUGGAAUCUAUCAAAUGAAGUGUAAAGAUAUCUGACAUUUCAGCAUGUAUUCAAAUGAGACCCAAACGCAGCUGCCUGAGCAUUCACUGGCAUGAUCAACUGCCAUUUUUCAAAGAAAUUUGGAAAGAGUUAGAAAAUUCAUUCUUUCAGUAUGACUAAUCAUGUAAAUAUUCUCAUCUACAAAUGUAACAGGAAGGGGUUUUAAAAAUUACAGCCCAAGCAAUACCGUUUUCUAAUAUGGCAUUAGUGAUAUUUUGGAAUGUGAGAUAAAUGUUACAUUGAUCAAUCGAUUGUCCAGUCUGCAGCCUCAUCAUUUUUGGUGUGAUGAGCCAUUUUUUUCCAGGUGUAGGACCUACAUCAAAUGCAAUUAUCAUUUAAUCCAUCUUGAACAAUAUAAAGUGCAUGAAGGCUUACUGGAUCAAUUAAGAAGUUAGAUCACUUCAUCAGUAUAAUAAUACAAGAUUAUUUUAAAAACUGAUCUCUUUUCUUUUAUACAAUCAGUUUUGUAUAUAUGAGGCAAAGCUGAGGGCAGACCUAAAUUACACAUGAAACUAUUUUAUUAUCAAAACAGCAGUCCUAAGAUUGAAAUCAGGUUAUUACUGAGUCAGUUAAAUAAACCAAAACAUAAUAUAAACA